RNAcentral lists this ribosomal RNA (334 nucleotides) under uncultured eukaryote. RNAcentral's name for it is "partial 18S ribosomal RNA". It matches the Rfam family "Eukaryotic small subunit ribosomal RNA", at positions 1470 to 1796 of the family's 1831-position model. The record is from RNAcentral.
CCCUUAGAUGUCCGGGGCCGCACGCGCGCUACACUGAAGGAAUCAGCGUGGCUUUCUCCCUGACCCGAAAGGGUUGGGAAACCCGUUGAAUCUCCUUCGUGAUAGGGAUUGGGGCUUGAAAUUGUUCCCCAUGAACGAGGAAUUCCCAGUAAGCGCGAGUCAUAAGCUCGCGUUGAUUACGUCCCUGCCCUUUGUACACACCGCCCGUCGCUACUACCGAUUGAACGGUUUAGUGAGGGCCUCGGAUUUGUCUCGGCCCGCUCUUUACCGGGCGGCGCCGUUGGUCGAGAAGACGCUCGAACUUGAUCGUUUAGAGGAAGUAAAAGUCGUAACA